Molecule: long non-coding RNA, 524 nt
Filed under: Pan troglodytes (chimpanzee)
Lineage: Eukaryota; Metazoa; Chordata; Mammalia; Primates; Hominidae
Description: lncRNA (ENSPTRG00000053920.1)
Source: RNAcentral
ACGGGCGUGAGCGUCGGUACGGGCGUGAGCGUCGGUACGGGCGUGAGCGUCGGUACGGGCGUGAGCGUCGGUACGGGCGUGAGCGUCGGUACGGGCGUGAGCGUCGGUACGGGCGUGAGCGUCGGUAGGGGCUUGCGUGUCUAUUAAUUGUUAUGUCCUUCAAGCAUGAAUUAAGUAACACCUUCUGGUUAUAAUGCCAGCCCGGAAUAUGAAUAUAAGGUUAGCUUCUACAAUUGAUUUGGCAGGAAUCAAAUCCGAGUUCCUCUACUGCGGAUUCGGCAGGGACCAGGCCUUCAGCGAUGGACAACGUUAUGCUACCAUCCAAGCAUGGAGCUUCUUUGUCACUGCAAGGUGGGAUGGCACAGUCAACACACAAGCAACUUGAUAUUUGCCCAACAGCCACUGGUAAGUGUCCAUAUUCUUGCCUACCAUUUUCCAAAAAUUUAAAUAUUUAGUUUAUUCAAAAACAACAACUAUGUUCUUUGUUUUAUAAAAAGCAAAUCAGAAAUGUUCCAUUUUUAACA